Molecule: ribosomal RNA, 1590 nt
Filed under: Clostridium perfringens
Lineage: Bacteria; Bacillati; Bacillota; Clostridia; Eubacteriales; Clostridiaceae
Description: partial 23S ribosomal RNA
Rfam family: Bacterial large subunit ribosomal RNA
Source: RNAcentral
CGUAACCGGGCUGAAGUCGUACCGUAAGGAGCGGUGGACUGGUUACGAGUGAGAAUGUUGGCAUCAGUAGCGAGAUGUGGGUGAGAAUCCCACAGGCCGAAAACCUAAGGUUUCCUCAGGAAGGUUCGUCCGCUGAGGGUUAGUCGGGACCUAAGCCGAGGCCGAAAGGCGUAGGUGAUGGACAACUGGUUGAUAUUCCAGUACCACUACCAUCGUUAUUAUCGAUGGCGUGACGCAGGAGGAUAGUGUGUGCUAGCUAUUGGAUGCUAGUCUAAGCGUUUAGGCAGUGAGAGUAGGCAAAUCCGCUCUCAUAAUGCUGAGGCGUGAUGGGGAAGGUUCUACGGAACCGAAGUACAUGAUUCCACGCUGCCAAGAAAAGCGUCUAGAGAGAGAAGUAGUGCCCGUACCGCAAACCGACACAGGUAGGUGAGGAGAGAAUCCUAAGGCCGGCGGAAGAAUUACAGUUAAGGAACUCGGCAAAUUGACCCCGUAAGUUCGCGAGAAGGGGUGCCUACGAGAGUAGGCCGCAGAGAAUAGGCCCAAGCAACUGUUUAGCAAAAACACAGGUCUCUGCUAAAGCGUAAGCUGAUGUAUAGGGGCUGACGCCUGCCCGGUGCUGGAAGGUUAAGGGGAACACUUAGCGCAAGCGAAGGUGUGAACUUAAGCCCCAGUAAACGGCGGCCGUAACUAUAACGGUCCUAAGGUAGCGAAAUUCCUUGUCAGGUAAGUUCUGACCCGCACGAAUGGCGUAAUGACUUGGGCACUGUCUCAACUGUAAAUCCGGCGAAGUUGUAGUGCGAGUGAAGAUGCUCGCUACCCGCGAUUGGACGGAAAGACCCCGUAGAGCUUUACUGUAGCUUAGCAUUGAGUUUUGGUAUUGUCUGUACAGGAUAGGUGGGAGACUAGGAAACCAGGGCGUCAGCCUUGGUGGAGUCAACCUUGGGAUACCACCCUGACAGUACUGAAAUUCUAACUGGCGGCCAUGAAUCUGGUCACAGGACAUUGUUAGGUGGGCAGUUUGACUGGGGCGGUCGCCUCCUAAAAAGUAACGGAGGCGCCCAAAGGUUCCCUCAGAACGGUCGGAAAUCGUUCGAAGAGUGCAAAGGCAGAAGGGAGCCUGACUGCGACACCCACAAGUGGAGCAGGGACGAAAGUCGGGCUUAGUGAUCCGGUGGUACCUCGUGGGAGGGCCAUCGCUCAACGGAUAAAAGCUACCUCGGGGAUAACAGGCUGAUCUCCCCCAAGAGUCCACAUCGACGGGGAGGUUUGGCACCUCGAUGUCGGCUCGUCGCAUCCUGGGGCUGAAGUAGGUCCCAAGGGUUGGGCUGUUCGCCCAUUAAAGCGGCACGCGAGCUGGGUUCAGAACGUCGUGAGACAGUUCGGUCCCUAUCCGUCGCGGGCGUAGGAAAUUUGAGAGGAGCUGUCCUUAGUACGAGAGGACCGGGAUGGACUGACCUCUGGUGUACCAGUUGUUCCGCCAGGAGCACAGCUGGGUAGCUAAGUCGGGAAUGGAUAAACGCUGAAAGCAUCUAAGCGUGAAGCCAACCUCAAGAUGAGAUUUCCCAUAGCGUAAGCUAGUAAGAUCCCUUG